RNAcentral lists this transfer RNA (63 nucleotides) under Tenerus hilleri. RNAcentral's name for it is "tRNA-Asp". Lineage: Eukaryota; Metazoa; Arthropoda; Insecta; Coleoptera; Cleridae. The record is from RNAcentral.
AAAAAUUUAGUUUAAAAAAAACAUUAGUUUGUCAAGCUAAAAUUAUUAUAUUAAUAAUUUUUA